AAGCGGCAACAGCUCAAAUUUGAAAUCUGGCGUAAGCCCGAGUUGUAAUUUGUAGAGGAUGCUUCUGGGUAGCGGCCGGUCUAAGUUCCUUGGAACAGGACGUCAUAGAGGGUGAGAAUCCCGUAUGUGACUGGCUUGCACCCUCCACGUAGCUCCUUCGACGAGUCGAGUUGUUUGGGAAUGCAGCUCUAAAUGGGAGGUAAAUUUCUUCUAAAGCUAAAUACCGGCCAGAGACCGAUAGCGCACAAGUAGAGUGAUCGAAAGAUGAAAAGCACUUUGGAAAGAGAGUUAAAAAGCACGUGAAAUUGUUGAAAGGGAAGCGCCCGCAACCAGACUUUGCGGCGGUGUUCGGCUGGUCUUCUGACCGGUUUACUCGCCGCCGUGAGGCCAUCAUCGUCUGGGACCGCUGGAUAAGACCUGAGGAAUGUAGCUCCCUUCGGGGUGUGUUAUAGCCUCUGGUGAUGCAGCGCGUCUCGGGCGAGGUCCGCGCUUCGGCAAGGAUGAUGGCGUAAUGGUUGUCGGCGGCCCGUCUUGAAACACGGACCAAGGAGUCUAACAUCUAUGCGAGUGUUCGGGUGUCAAACCCCUACGCGUAAUGAAAGUGAACGGAGGUGGGAACUUUUUGUGCACCAUCGACCGAUCCUGAUGUCCUCGGAUGGAUUUGAGUAAGAGCAUAGCUGUUGGGACCCGAAAGAUGGUGAACUAUGCCUGAAUAGGGUGAAGCCAGAGGAAACUCUGGUGGAGGCUCGCAGCGGUUCUGACGUGCAAAUCGAUCGUC
This 778-nucleotide ribosomal RNA is filed under the name Pseudocercospora sp. MS-2016. RNAcentral's name for it is "eukaryotic LSU rRNA". It matches the Rfam family "Eukaryotic large subunit ribosomal RNA", at positions 96 to 906 of the family's 3401-position model. Lineage: Eukaryota; Fungi; Ascomycota; Dothideomycetes; Mycosphaerellales; Mycosphaerellaceae. The record is from RNAcentral.